RNAcentral lists this ribosomal RNA (253 nucleotides) under uncultured bacterium. RNAcentral's name for it is "partial 16S ribosomal RNA". It matches the Rfam family "Bacterial small subunit ribosomal RNA", at positions 524 to 776 of the family's 1533-position model. The record is from RNAcentral.
UACGUAGGUGGCAAGCGUUACUCGGAAUCACUAGGCGUAAAGCGCAGGUAGGAGGUUUGGUAAGUCUGUUGUGAAAGCUCCCGGCUUAACUGGGAGAGGUCAACGGAAACUACCAGGCUAGAGUGCGGUAGAGGUAGCUGGAAUUCCCGGUGUAGCGGUGAAAUGCGUAGAUAUCGGGAGGAAUACCUAUGGCGAAAGCAGGCUACUGGACCGUCACUGACUCUGAUCUGCGAAAGCUAGGGGAGCAAACAGG